Molecule: long non-coding RNA, 608 nt
Organism: Spinacia oleracea (spinach)
Lineage: Eukaryota; Viridiplantae; Streptophyta; Magnoliopsida; Caryophyllales; Amaranthaceae
Exons: 3
Source: RefSeq, a predicted model, not a curated record
CCCCUUUUUUUCUUUAAUCUCUUCCGUUAUUUACUCUAAAAUGAGAUGAAAUCCCCAACUUUCUAACUUCUUUUCCUAACUCGCCGCAAUUUUGUUUUACAUAAUCAUCCCUAACCUCUUCAAUGUCUUUCGUUUCAUUUCGUUGUACUACUUUAAAUUUAUCCCUCUUAAUCAAUCCCCACUUUCUUAAAUAAAGGAACACCUCUGUUGAAUCUCUCAUGCCACAAAUCACCGCUCGCAUCAUGAUGAAUUUAAGGAUCAACCGCCAGCAGCCACACAAAACAAUUCUUGAUCUUGUCCUUCGUGGUUGUUAGUAGAUUGAUUUACUCUAUUGUCUGGUUAGAUUUAAUCAAAGGAGACGAGAAUAUUAGCCGGAACGGAAGGAAUUUUUUUGUUCCUACAUAUCUUCUUUGUUCUUGUUAGAGAGAUUGAUCAAAUUCAAAAGAGGACAGAGUGUUUUUUAUCUUCUAUAGGAUAGAUCUAGAAUCAAUGAGUUUAAGAUCUUUGUAAAAUUUAUUAUAUUCUUUGAUCUACUGUUUAUUGAUUACGAGAGUAUUUUGAAUUGUAUGAGAAUUCCAUUACGAAUUAGAAAUGUUGAUCUGUUCAUU